This 77-nucleotide transfer RNA is filed under the name Leptolyngbya sp. Cla-17. Its description in RNAcentral is "tRNA-Thr". It matches the Rfam family "tRNA". From Rfam's summary of the family: Transfer RNA (tRNA) molecules are approximately 80 nucleotides in length. Their secondary structure includes four short double-helical elements and three loops (D, anti-codon, and T loops). Lineage: Bacteria; Bacillati; Cyanobacteriota; Cyanophyceae; Leptolyngbyales; Leptolyngbyaceae. The record is from RNAcentral.
GCUGGUGUAGCUCAAUCUGGUAGAGCGUCUGACUUGUAAUCAGAUGGUUGCAGGUUCAAUUCCUGUCUCCAGCCCCA